Molecule: non-coding RNA, 115 nt
Organism: Triticum aestivum (bread wheat)
Lineage: Eukaryota; Viridiplantae; Streptophyta; Magnoliopsida; Poales; Poaceae
Source: Rfam
GAAGUACUCCCUCCGUUCGGAAUUACUUGUCGCGAAAAUGGAUGUAUCUAGACGUAUUUUAGUUUUAGAUACAUCCAUUCCCAAGACAAGUAAUUCCGAACGGAGGGAGUAUAAA